This 684-nucleotide long non-coding RNA is filed under the name Dasypus novemcinctus (nine-banded armadillo). RNAcentral describes it as "lncRNA (ENSDNOG00000049938.1)". The record is from RNAcentral. Lineage: Eukaryota; Metazoa; Chordata; Mammalia; Cingulata; Dasypodidae.
AGCCAGUGACCUGGCUCUACCGCCUAGUCUCUGUGCCACGCAUACCAUUUUCCAGUUCAAUUUCACCUUCUCCAAACUCAAUGUUGCCCUCUACGUUCAAGACACCAAAUCCUCGCCUGCUAGAAUCGUUUACUUAAUUCGACACGUCCCUUCCCCGUCGUAAGAAAAUUGGUCUCUGAAGUUUUAGAAAUGACCGACUCCACAGAACAAACUGAGCACCUCCUCAACAUGGCCACCCUCAAGAAGAAGAAACACAACGGGCGCGGCCAUAUUGCUUCAGAACAGAGACGUCACAGGCGCCGCCAUCUUCCCUCCAUGCCUGCGCCGCUGUCCCCGUAACCUUAGCGUACGGCAGAGAGGAGGGGUGGGGCCUCGAGUUGACUUGGCAGAAGGGGUCUCAAAGGCACCACUGAGCGUGCGCAGAAUGGGCUGCUGCACUGCUUUAGGUUGCGGUGCCAGAGAGUCGGUCCCGAAGAGGAAGUGCUUCUUGGGGACAGUUCUUGUAACGGUGGCCACUGCAGCGAGCAGGAAAUCUGUUGUCGAGAGAGAGCGAGCUCAGCUUUUACCCAUCUCUUUCGUUUCCCAAGAAGAGCAAGAAAUGGCCAAAUCCCAGGUAAGUAUGUUGUCUUUGUGUACCUUUGUGUUGCUAUGGAAGUUAUGGGAAAUGUAGGAAUCUUUGACAGA